Molecule: unclassified non-coding RNA, 353 nt
Filed under: soil metagenome
Description: partial contains 5.8S ribosomal RNA, internal transcribed spacer 2, and large subunit ribosomal RNA
Rfam family: 5.8S ribosomal RNA (bases 1-120)
Source: RNAcentral
GAUGAAGAACGCAGCGAAAUGCGAUAAGUAAUGUGAAUUGCAGAAUUCAGGGAAUCAUCGAAUCUUUGAACGCACAUUGCGCCCGCCAGUAUUCUGGCGGGCAUGCCUGUUCGAGCGUCAUUACAACCCUCAGGCCCCCGGGCCUGGCGUUGGGGAUCGGCGGAAGCCCCCUGCGGGCACAACGCCGUCCCCCAAAUACAGUGGCGGUCCCGCCGCAGCUUCCAUUGCGUAGUAGCUAACACCUCGCAACUGGAGAGCGGCGCGGCCACGCCGUAAAACACCCAACUUCUGAAUGUUGACCUCGAAUCAGGUAGGAAUACCCGCUGAACUUAAGCAUAUCAAUAAGCGGAGGA